GCCAACGCCACUCCCCGCUGUCCCAGUGCCACUCGCCGGCCCAGCAGCGCCGCUCGCCCGCCCCGCAGUGCCCCUCGCCCGCGCCCGGCCGCCCCCCGGCCCCGCAGUGCCAGUCCCCGGCGCUGCAGCGGCGCUCCCCGGCCCCCCAGUGCCAGUCGCCCGCCCAGCAGCACCGCUCGCCCGCCCCGGGGCCCUGCCAGUCGCCGGCCCAGCAGCGCCGCUCGCCCGUGCCCACCUCCAGCCCCUCGCCCGCCCAGCAGCGCCGCUCCCCGGCCCCGCCACCCUGCCCCUCCCCGGCCUCGGCGUCCCCCCACCGGCUGCCCGGCGAGAGGAUGGAGCUGGGCUACGCCAAGCCCUCCAGCCGCCACAUCAAGGCCGGCUUCCAGGGCCGCCGCAGCUACUCGGAGGUGAGCAACGUGGCCCUGUACCAGCAGAGCCGCUCGCUCUGGCUGCAGCCCGAAGCCUCGACGCUCCCCAAGCACCGGCCCUACGGCGAGGUGUACCUGGGGGGCACGGGGGCCCCCCUGAGCGCCCGCGAGCCCUUCGAGGAGCACGUGCGCUUCGAGAAGCAGUCGUCGGACGAAGAGGACUGGGCGGUCCCCAGCCCCCCCAGCCCCGAGGUGGGGGCUGUCCGCUGCGCCUCCUUCUGCGCCGGCUUCCCCAUCCCCGACACCGCCGCGCACCGGGCAGCUGCCGCCUAUGCCAGGACCGAGCACGCCCAGUCCUGGCCCUCGAUCAACCUGCUGAUGGAGACGGUGGACUCGGAAAUCCGGAGCUGCCCGCUGUGCCAGCUGGCCUUCCCCAUCGGCUACCCGGACGAUGCUUUGAUAAAGCACAUUGACUCGCACCUGGAGAACAGCAAGAUCUGAGCCCCCCCGCCCGCGCCGCCCCCCCCCGGCCGCGGGCUGCCCCCUCCCCGGACUUUGGAUGCUGCAUGAGAACACGAGGAGUGACACGGCUCCGAAAUACCUCCAAGGAUUCAGUAGCUGCGGAGGGACUGACCCCACAGGAGCCCCAGGCCCCUCCUGGCCUCGCGUGUAGGGAGGAUUUGAGGGACCGGGUCCUGGAUCUGGCCCCCAGACAGCAGGUGAAGGGAAGGGGCUGCCCCUUCGGGGGCUCACUGGGUCAGAAUUGGUUGGGGGUGGGAGGCUGCUUGUUCUCGGUCCCCCACCUCUUCCCACCAGUUCAAGCAUCUUUCCAGUCUUUUACAUUAAAAGCAUCCCCCCCCCGCCCCCAUUUCUCCCUUCUCCCCACAACGAUGCUGCUGAGAAUCAAACCCCACGGCCCACGGCACAGCAUGGACAUCCCGCACCACUGCGCUGAGCUCUGCGGCCGCCGGCACCCCUGGGCCCUGCGGGGCCGUGUGGCCACCCCCCCGGCCCCGCAGCCCCCGGCCCCCACCCGCACCCCCCACGUUCGAUCUACCUCAAAGCCGCCGAGAGGCCCCCGACGUCGGGAGGGGGGGUCUGCGGCACCGUCCCCCCGUGCUCCGCGCUGCAUGCCCCCCCUGUGCCACGGCGCGCACAUCCACGCGCACCACCCGAGGGCUCAGCUGGGGUCCGGCCCCUGCUCCCUCAGGGUCCCCACGCAGGGGGACCCGCGCUCUGUGCAACGCCGCUGAGUCCAAUAAAACCCUUCCCCAGUGCCCA
Molecule: long non-coding RNA, 1649 nt
Filed under: Anas platyrhynchos platyrhynchos (common mallard)
Lineage: Eukaryota; Metazoa; Chordata; Aves; Anseriformes; Anatidae
Description: lncRNA (ENSAPLG00000024811.1)
Source: RNAcentral